This 430-nucleotide ribosomal RNA is filed under the name Fusobacteriota bacterium. Its description in RNAcentral is "Fusobacteria bacterium partial 16S ribosomal RNA". It matches the Rfam family "Bacterial small subunit ribosomal RNA", at positions 355 to 776 of the family's 1533-position model. Lineage: Bacteria; Fusobacteriati; Fusobacteriota. The record is from RNAcentral.
UGGGGAAUAUUGCGCAAUGGGCGAAAGCCUGACGCAGCGACGCCGCGUGAGUGAAGAAGGUUUUCGGAUCGUAAAACUCUGUUGUUAGAGAAGAACAAGGAUGAGAGUAGAAUGUUCAUCCCUUGACGGUAUCUAACCAGAAAGCCACGGCUAACUACGUGCCAGCAGCCGCGGUAAUACGUAGGUGGCAAGCGUUGUCCGGAUUUAUUGGGCGUAAAGCGAGCGCAGGCGGUUUCUUAAGUCUGAUGUGAAAGCCCCCGGCUCAACCGGGGAGGGUCAUUGGAAACUGGGAAACUUGAGUGCAGAAGAGGAGAGUGGAAUUCCAUGUGUAGCGGUGAAAUGCGUAGAUAUAUGGAGGAACACCAGUGGCGAAGGCGGCUCUCUGGUCUGUAACUGACGCUGAGGCUCGAAAGCGUGGGGAGCAAACAGG